AGGGUUUGAUUCUGGCUCAGGAUGAACGCCGGCGGUGUGCCUAAUACAUGCAAGUCGAGCGCACUGGCCCAACAGAAAUGACGUGCUUGCACUGAUUUGACGUUGGAUUCCCAGUGAGCGGCGGACGGGUGAGUAACACGUGGGCAACCUGCCCCAAAGCGGGGGAUAACAUUUGGAAACAGGUGCUAAUACCGCAUAACUUGAAAAACCACAUGGUUUUCCAAUAAAAGAUGGUUUCGGCUAUCACUUUGGGAUGGGCCCGCGGUGCAUUAGCUAGUUGGUAAGGUAACGGCUUACCAAGGCGAUGAUGCAUAGCCGAGUUGAGAGACUGAUCGGCCACAAUGGAACUGAGACACGGUCCAU
This 363-nucleotide ribosomal RNA is filed under the name uncultured bacterium. RNAcentral's name for it is "bacterial SSU rRNA". It matches the Rfam family "Bacterial small subunit ribosomal RNA", at positions 8 to 334 of the family's 1533-position model. The record is from RNAcentral.